GAUGAACGCUGGCGGCGUGCCUAACACAUGCAAGUCGAACGAAGCGAUUUAACGGAAGUUUUCGGAUGGAAGUUGAAUUGACUGAGUGGCGGACGGGUGAGUAACGCGUGGGUAACCUGCCUUGUACUGGGGGACAACAGUUAGAAAUGACUGCUAAUACCGCAUAAGCGCACAGUAUCGCAUGAUACAGUGUGAAAAACUCCGGUGGUACAAGAUGGACCCGCGUCUGAUUAGCUAGUUGGUAAGGUAACGGCCCACCAAGGCGACGAUCGGUAGCCGGACUGAGAGGUUGAACGGCCACAUUGGGACUGAGACACGGCCCAG
This 324-nucleotide ribosomal RNA is filed under the name uncultured bacterium. RNAcentral's name for it is "bacterial SSU rRNA". It matches the Rfam family "Bacterial small subunit ribosomal RNA", at positions 28 to 334 of the family's 1533-position model. The record is from RNAcentral.